Molecule: ribosomal RNA, 591 nt
Filed under: Triticum aestivum (bread wheat)
Lineage: Eukaryota; Viridiplantae; Streptophyta; Magnoliopsida; Poales; Poaceae
Description: partial small subunit ribosomal RNA
Source: RNAcentral
AUGAGGUACCUAGAGGAGGAUGCUGCGGCAGGCACGUGUGCUGUAGGUGUAGCAAAUUGGACAAGCUACACCGCUAAUGCCGGGUGUAUGGAACUCAGGAAGGCUAUCUGCAACAAGCUUCAGGAGGAUAAUGGUCUAACCUAUAGCCCAGAUCAUGUGCUAGCGACCAAUGGGGCUAAGCAAUGCACUACACACGCUGUUCUUGAUGUUCUCUCAUGUGGUGAUGAGGUCGGCACUGCUAUUGUCACCGGGCAGCAUGGCCGACUGGCCAUCGGUAGGCUCGGAUCCCUCUGCGAGCAGGUGAAGAAGCUUAAUUUCCAGGGGUAUGAGGUGAUUCUGUUCGCCUCCGGCGCCGUUGGCAUCGGGAGGCAGAGGCUCAAGUACCGAAAGCUCAUCAACAGCCAUAACCCACAGUUGGACCUGGAUGGGAAGGCCUGCACUGCCGUCGGCCAGAGUGGCCUCAUGGCUAUCUACGAUACACUGUUUAGCCAACUUGAUGUGACAUUAUCUCAGCUUCUUGUUAUAGAUCGUGAUUUCUGGGAUCCAAGUUUUGGGCUCCAGCUUCAUGAGACUGAAUUUUGUUCAAGGUAA